UACGUAGGGCGCAAGCGUUGUCCGGAUUUAUUGGGCGUAAAGAGCUCGUAGGCGGUCUGUCGCGUCGGAUGUGAAAACCCGGAGCUCAACUCCGGGCCUGCAUUCGAUACGGGCAGACUUGAGUACUGCAGGGGAGACUGGAAUUCCUGGUGUAGCGGUGGAAUGCGCAGAUAUCAGGAGGAACACCGAUGGCGAAGGCAGGUCUCUGGGCCGAUACUGACGCUGAGGAGCGAAAGCGUGGGGAGCGAACAGG
RNAcentral lists this ribosomal RNA (253 nucleotides) under uncultured bacterium. Its description in RNAcentral is "partial 16S ribosomal RNA". It matches the Rfam family "Bacterial small subunit ribosomal RNA", at positions 524 to 776 of the family's 1533-position model. The record is from RNAcentral.